Molecule: ribosomal RNA, 789 nt
Filed under: uncultured Glomeromycotina
Lineage: Eukaryota; Fungi; Glomeromycota
Description: SSU rRNA
Rfam family: Eukaryotic small subunit ribosomal RNA
Source: RNAcentral
GAUGGUAGGAUAGAGGCCUACCAUGGUGGUAACGGGUAACGGGGUGUUAGGGCACGACACCGGAGAGGGAGCCUGAGAAACGGCUACCACAUCCAAGGAUGGCAGCAGGCGCGCAAAUUACCCAAUCCCGACACGGGGAGGUAGUGACAAUAAAUAACAAUACGGGGUUCUUUAGGAUUUCAUAAUUGGAAUGAGUACAAUUUAAAUCUCUUAACGAGGAACAAUUGGAGGGCAAGUCUGGUGCCAGCAGCCGCGGUAAUUCCAGCUCCAAUAGCGUAUAUUAAAGUUGUUGCAGUUAAAAAGCUCGUAGUUGAAUUUCGGGGUCAGUAGGUUGGUCAUGCCACUGGUAUGUACUGGUCUCACUGAUUCCUCCUUCCUGAUGAGCCGUAAUGCCAUUAAUUUGGUGUUGCGAGGAGUCUGGACUGUUACUUUGAAAAAAUUAGAGUGUUUAAAGCAGGCUAACGCUUGAAUACAUUAGCAUGGAAUAAUGAAAUAGGACGUUCGAUCUUAUUUUGUUGGUUUCUAAGAUUGACGUAAUGAUUAAUAGGGAUAGUUGGGGGCAUUAGUAUUCAAUUGUCAGAGGUGAAAUUCUUGGAUUUAUUGAAGACUAACUACUGCGAAAGCAUUUGCCAAGGAUGUUUUCAUUAAUCAAGAACGAAAGUUAGGGGAUCGAAGAUGAUCAGAUACCGUCGUAGUCUUAACCAUAAACUAUGCCGACUAGGGAUCGGAUGAUGUUAAUUUUUUAAUGACUCAUUCGGCGCCUUACGGGAAACCAAAGUGUUUGGGUUC